Long non-coding RNA from Myotis myotis, 3052 nucleotides. RefSeq lists it as uncharacterized. NCBI's taxonomy places the organism in Eukaryota, Metazoa, Chordata, Mammalia, Chiroptera, Vespertilionidae. The record is from RefSeq and is a predicted model, not a curated record. The transcript has 3 exons.
CCAGGACUAGCCAGUUCCUGGAGCUGGGGCUCCUGGGCCAGCGCACCCCCUCGCUGCUCACCCGGCCUUGUUUUUCCCUGGGCUUUGGCGAUGUGAGCUCGGGUCAUCGGGAGGAAGGGAGACGUGGCCAACCACCGGGAUGUCAGCAGGUGCCGUCCAGGUGGCGAGCGGGACAGGCGCGAGGCGUCGCGUGCAACCCUCGGGGCAGCUGAUUUCAGCUAUUUCCAGGGUCCAGAGCCUGCGUGUGGGAGACGGAUACCACAGCAGACAGACGCUUGCAUUCCCGGCCUCGCCUUCCCCUCGGUCCUCAGGUUUCAACCGCUGGGCUCCCUCCGCGUGGUGGGAAGAAAAGUUAAUUCUUAAAUGGCGGCUGGAACCAAGUUGAAGUGCGCUGACAGCCCUCACACCCGCUCUCGACAUCUCUCAUGAGGGCGAGGAUCUCACAAUGGCAGAUGCUGGUCAAUUAGGCAGAAAUACUUUCAUCUUGAAAAAGAGAGAGGAAAAAAGGAUUUAAAGACCCAAAGGUAUUUUUGGCUGACAUGAGUGUAAUUAAUUUCUUCACAAGACAAAAUGGACAGAAAAUGAAUGCCAUUAAGGGCCGAGUUUUUAUGCUGCCAAACCGACAAAUCAAUUCAGGGCAAGCAGCAGGCUGGCGUGUUGUUUUUUUCCCCGCAGUUUUUUUUUAUCUUUGUUAAAUAGAAUUAACAAUGAAAAGUCGAGCGAGUUGACGUAGAUUUUUUGAUUUCCAGUUAGCCGUGUACAAUGGGGUCAUGUGGAGGCCCUGGGUCGGCACUCCCGGGUGGAAGUCAUCGUGGAGGCGGAGUGGCGUCCACCCCUUUGGGUGUGGCUGGGAUCUCAAGUGCAUCGGCCCUCACGGGGCCUGCACCACACAUUUGCUGUCUGUGAGCCCUGAAGAGGGAACCGCCUUCAGUGCGAGUGCUAAGUGGGAGGUCUCACUCCUCUCCUCAUCUAAGUACCAGGCUAGGCUAAGUACCAGGCACAUGGUACGUGCUUAAGAAAUAAUAAUAGAACAGUCCAACGAAGUUCCUUGUAUUUUCCCAUUUGUAGCCAAGCUCUUGACCCUUAGGCAUUGGUACCUUGAUGAAAAUCUCAAUUUUUCUCAGUGUUAGGAGUUCCCUUUCAUCAAUAAGACAUCUCCCUAAAUGCAUUUAUAAACAUCUUCCAAAAAUGAAAUAGGCAUUUGUGUGUUUUUUUUUUAAAAAGGUUUGAGUAAUUACUCUGUGUUUCCAUAACCAGACUGACAAACACUUUACUAUAUAGAAUGCUAUUUCUGCAGCAGAAAGGACUCUUUAUCUAUAACAAUAAGAGCAUAAUAUGCUAAUUAGACCAGACGUCCUUCCGGAUGACCUUCCAGACGAAGCCGGGGCUGCGAGGGAAGCCCAGGUCUCAGGUGCCAGAGGGAAGCUGGUGCCAGCAGCCGGGGGAAGGCAGGCCUACUCUUGCACGAAUGUUGUGCAUCGGGCCUCUAGUUUCCUAUAAACAAACAUAGGAACUUCUUAAAAAUAAAGGUAAGCGUCUGUGCUCACCCAGAAACGACAUCAGGCUGCAGCUGGAGGUGGGAGGCUCCCCCAGGCACGGCGUUUCCAUGGCAACAGCAGAGGACUCUGGAUUUUGUAUGUGCUUUCUUCUCGCAGGCCAGCUCCUCUCUCAAGAGUGACUGCGAGGUCGUAGGGGCCUAAAGUGAUGGGUCAGUAGAAGUAACUACAGGUGAUUGCAGGGCUGUUUUUUGUUUUGUUUUUUUCCCAUCUUCCUCCAGCUGCUGGGAUAAUGUGCAGAUUUCCUUAAGGUAAUUUUAAAGAAUGAUGAUUUGGCAACCAUCAGGAAUCGUCAGAGUUUUCUCUCUGAUUCAGCACCUUCUCGUGCAAGCGAGUUUGCUCACUAUUCUUCUGACUAUCGAGCUGGAAUCGGCAGCAGGGGGGGGGCUUGCGUCUGCUUUGCGACUGUAGCAUGUGGAAUAAGGCACAACAAUUAAGCCAAUGAGAGCCAGUGAAGUUUUGCCAGUGAUGGGCUCCCGCCCACCCGUCCGCCCACCCGCCCGCCGCUGCUCUCCACGUUCACCACCCUGCCCACCUGCCCUCCUGGUGAGUGGUCGUUUGGUCGUUACGGUCGUCACGGGCACUGGCUUUUUAUAUAUAUAGAUGAGUCAGGUCAAAGCAAUCCAUAAAACAGUCUCACACACUCAUUUGCCUUUUUAAGUGGGAGAGGAAAGGAUGUGGUUAGGAUAUACCAGGAAUUGCACAUCAUCCAAAACCCAGCUUAUCUAUGUAUUGAGUAAUUGUUCCCAAGGUACUGUUAUUAGCCUUGCUCUAAUCCAUUACAAUAGAGAUUAGCUCCUCUGCCAAAGUGUUAAGCUUAGACAAAACCUUGGUACACCCAUGAGAGCGUGACAUUCACAUCCACCUUCACAGCAAAUAAAAUGUUAAAAAAAAACAACCACACCCGUCUCCUCUUCAUAGCGGCAGGGCGUGUGCCAGCUAUCACUUCUGAUUUUAUCCAUUCUGUUACUAGAUCCCUGAGGUUCCAUGCCAUAAAUUCCUCUAAGAACUUAUUGGGGAAAAUGUUCCUCUCCAUGUAAAAGUAUAUGGUGCCUUUUGAUCGUGAAAUGAACCACAGGGUUCAUCUUCUUGGCUUUUUUCACUCUGUCUGCCAGCACGCAAGCUCCGAGUUCCCAGUUUAAUAUCACCUUGCAGUUGAAUGUAGUGAAAUGAUCACGGAAUCGGGAGCCUAAAGAUUUCACUAGUAGACUGCCUUCUUUUAUUGGUAAGCUGCACGUGCCAUGAGCAUUGUACUUGACCUGUUUGAGCCUCAGUUUCCAAGUCUGACAAAUGGUCAUAAUAACCGGCGGCGGACGUUCCUGGUUGCUCACUUCGCAGUCCUCUCCGCCUCUUUCUCUGGAUAGCAGACGUCCUGUAUUUUUCGGGCUCCUACUGGCAAUGUGCUUAGGAGAGGCGGACCCAACUCUAGCGAAUGAGUCAUCGUCGGCCAAUGCCAAGCAUAACCAUCCCAUUCUCCUUUCCCCGUGAUUGCCUCA